Molecule: ribosomal RNA, 253 nt
Filed under: uncultured bacterium
Lineage: Bacteria
Description: partial 16S ribosomal RNA
Rfam family: Bacterial small subunit ribosomal RNA
Source: RNAcentral
UACAAGAAAAACAAGCGUUGUUCGGAAUUACUGAGCAUAAAGGGCGCGUAGACGGUCCGCUAAGUUGAAUAUGAAAACUCUAAGCUUAACCCAGAGCCUACAUUCAAUACUGGCAAGCUAGAGUUCUGGAAAAGAUAGCGGAAUUCCUAAUGUAGCGGUGAAAUGCGUAGAUAUCAGGAAAAACACCAAUGGCGAAGGCGACUAUCUGGACAGAGUCUGACGCUGAGGCGCGAAAGCUAAAAAAACAAACAGG